GGAUGAACGCUAGCGGCAGGCUUAAUACAUGCAAGUCGAAGGGGGUAGCAAUACAACCGGCGCACGGGUGAGUAACGCGUACACAACAUGCCAUAUACUGGAGUAUAGCUUUGGGAAACUGAAGGUAAUCCUCCAUAAUAUUUCGGAUAGGCAUCUAUUUGAAAUUAAAGUUUCGACGGUAUAUGAUUGGUGUGCGUUUGAUUAGCUAGUUGGUAGGUAACGGCCUACCAAGGCUACGAUCAAUAGCUGGCGUGAGAGCGCGACCAGCCACACUGGAACUGAGACACGGUCCAGACUCCUACGGGAGGCAGCAGUAGGGAAUAUUGGACAAUGGGCGAAAGCCUGAUCCAGCCAUGCCGCGUGAUAGAUGAAGGCCCUC
Molecule: ribosomal RNA, 379 nt
Filed under: uncultured bacterium
Lineage: Bacteria
Description: bacterial SSU rRNA
Rfam family: Bacterial small subunit ribosomal RNA
Source: RNAcentral